This 405-nucleotide ribosomal RNA is filed under the name uncultured bacterium. RNAcentral's name for it is "partial 16S ribosomal RNA". It matches the Rfam family "Bacterial small subunit ribosomal RNA", at positions 28 to 526 of the family's 1533-position model. The record is from RNAcentral.
GAUGAACGCUGGCGGCGUGCCUAAUACAUGCAAGUCGAGCGAAGCGGGGACGGGUGAGUAACACGUGGGUAACCUCCUAUAAGACUGGGAUAACUUCGGGAAACAGGAGCUAAACCGGAUACUGAUAGAUGGACCCGCGCCGUAUUCGCUAGUUGGUAAGGUAACGGCUUACAAAGGAGACGAUAUGUAGCCGACCUGAGAGGGGGAUCGGCAACACUGGAACGUAGACACGGUCCAUACUCCUACGGUAGGCAGCAGUAGGGAAUCUUCCGCAAGUGGCGAAAGCCUUACGGAGCAACGCCGCGUUAGUGAUUAAGGUUUUCGGAUCGUAAAACUCUGUUAUGAGGGAAGCGGUACCUAAUCAGAAAGCCACGGCUAACGACGUGCCAGCAGCCGCGGUAAUUC